RNAcentral lists this ribosomal RNA (253 nucleotides) under uncultured bacterium. RNAcentral's name for it is "partial 16S ribosomal RNA". It matches the Rfam family "Bacterial small subunit ribosomal RNA", at positions 524 to 776 of the family's 1533-position model. The record is from RNAcentral.
UACAGGGGGGGCAAGCGUUGUUCGGAUUUACUGGGCGUAAAGGGCGCGUAGGCGGCUUAACAAGUCACUUGUGAAAUCUCCGGGCUUAACUCGGAACGGCCAAGUGAAACUGUCAAGCUAGAGUGCAGAAGGGGCAAUCGGAAUUCUUGGUGUAGCGGUGAAAUGCGUAGAUAUCAAGAGGAACACCUGAGGUGAAGACGGGUUGCUGGGCUGACACUGACGCUGAGGCGCGAAAGCCAGGGGAGCAAACGGG